CGCGGCCUAUCAGCUUGUUGGUGGGGUGAUGGCCUACCAAGGCGAUGACGGGUAGCCGGCCUGAGAGGGCGACCGGCCACACUGGGACUGAGACACGGCCCAGACUCCUACGGGAGGCAGCAGUGGGGAAUAUUGCGCAAUGGGCGGAAGCCUGACGCAGCGACGCCGCGUGAGGGAUGACGGCCUUCGGGUUGUAAACCUCUUUCAGCAGGGACGAAGCGCAAGUGACGGUACCUGCAGAAGAAGCACCGGCCAACUACGUGCCAGCAGCCGCGGUAAUACGUAGGGUGCAAGCGCUGUCCGGAAUUAUUGGGCGUAAAGAGCUCGUAGGCGGCUUGUCACGUCGACUGUGAAAACCCGGGGCUCAACUCCGGGCCUGCAGUCGAUACGGGCUGGCUUGAGUGCGGUAGGGGAGACUGGAAUUCCUGGUGUAGCGGUGAAAUGCGCAGAUAUCAGGAGGAACACCGGUGGCGAAGGCGGGUCUCUGGGCCGUAACUGACGCUGAGGAGCGAAAGCGUGGGGAGCGAACAGGAUUAGAUACCCUGGUAGUCCACGCCGUAAACGUUGGGCGCUAGGUGUGGGGACCUAUCCACGGUCUCCGUGCCGCAGCUAACGCAUUAAGCGCCCCGCCUGGGGAGUACGG
Molecule: ribosomal RNA, 643 nt
Filed under: uncultured bacterium
Lineage: Bacteria
Description: bacterial SSU rRNA
Rfam family: Bacterial small subunit ribosomal RNA
Source: RNAcentral